This is a long non-coding RNA of Cygnus atratus (black swan), 2506 nucleotides long. RefSeq lists it as uncharacterized. The record is from RefSeq and is a predicted model, not a curated record. The transcript is spliced from 4 exons. Lineage: Eukaryota; Metazoa; Chordata; Aves; Anseriformes; Anatidae.
UUUACUGUCUGAUUCAUAGAGACUCCCAGAAAAAAGAAGACUCUUCAUGUGCUGUGAUAUAUCAUCCCUAUAUGUGGGUAUAACCAGAGCUUAGUUUUAUGCUGCAUGGUGAAGUUCUCUGCACAAGCCCUAUUCUGAAGGAAGCUGUACAAAAGCAGUUUUUUCUGGAAGCUACCACAUUGUGGAAUUGUGCCUUCUGGGUCAGAGAUGAAAGGAGCUGGCCAGUAAGUGUGAAGCUGAAACAUUUUUUUCCAAAGCAGUGGCAAACACUGUCCUGGGGAGGAGAAAACAUUGCAGAAGGCUUCAGCUGAAUGUGAAUGGUUUAGUGAAAGUAUAGUCUGCUGGACUUUGCUUAAGCAAAAAGCAAUCAUUCUCCUUGUAAAUGUAAGAACACAGAGAAGGAAGAAAAUUUGCCAAGUAAGAAAGCAUUAUGGGCCAUUAGCAAAUUAAGGAAUGUGUAUCCUCUCCCAUGAACUUAUUGCUGCACAUAAAGAUCUGAAACUGUUCUGCUCUUGCGUUGUGGUAUUAGCCAACAUGAGGUGACCGCUGGGAAGAGGGUUCAGAAAUGUGCAAGAGAUGAAAAUUCCCUGCAAUAUAUUUUAUACGGUAAAAACAUAUAGGUUUUGUUGUUGUUGUUUGUUUGUUUGUUUUCUCAUGGAUGUUGCAAUGUUGUCAAACCCAGUAAGUCAAAUAUCAUUUUUCUACUGGGGAAGAAUACAAACAAAAUUGCUCACAUAGUAAUAAUGACUGACAUUCUUUAUGUUGUAUGCUGAAAGGACACCAUUAGGAGGGGCUAAGAUGUGAUGACCCAUACAGAUCUUUAUAGAGGACCAAAAAGGAAUUCCUGGGAGAUGUGUAUCAGCCCUUGAAAUACGUCCUGCAUAUGAUCCUGAGUCCAUCUGUGGUUGUGAAUAGGUUGGUAAGGCCUUAGUCUUCCACCCAGUAGCUAGGCCUUCACACCAGAAACAUUAAAAUUAUUGAGCUUGAUAUUGGCAUUUGGCAUCUAUAGCGUCAGCUGAAUUCGCAUUCUCAUUGGUUUUAUAAUUCUAUAUUAUUUUCUAAUGACAGUCUGCAUUCACAGUGGGUGAAGAAUGGGCAUGGACCCUUUGCUGGCUCUAAUGGAAGCUAUUGCUCUUGGUGGCAGGCAUAAAAUGGGCAAAUCUGCCUGUUUGAGUUGUGGAUAGGUAAGUCGGAUCAGCUGCUACUGGUGCUCUAGGCAUUUCACCAUUAAAAAUGUUGUAUGUCUCUUGAUUUGUCCACUAAGUCAACUUUGUAAUUCUAAAAGCAAAGCCAAUUACUAGAGUUUCACUUAUUAAGCUUUUUCAUUGGUGUGUUUUUCAUUGACACUCUUUAGCUAAGGCAAAGGUUAUUAUUUUUAAUAAUUAUCCCUAACGAAUUUUGCGCAUGGGAAGUGUAUAACAAAGCAUAUGUCCUUCAACAUCUUUGCUGUAGAAAUAAACAAAUUAAAAAUAAUUCUUGGAAGAUAGUCUAAUAUUCCUUUGUCCUUGAAGUCUUAAAGUAUUAUCAAAAUAAGGUAAAACCAAAAUCAAUUUAUAGAUGAAAAUCCUAGGAAUCUGCCUGCGUGGUCCCUACUACUUAACGAGAUCUUAAUUUUCAAAGAUUAAAGCUGUGAUACUGAGACAGCGGCCUCUCUUGGAAACCAGUGCUUUUUGUUUGGAAGAUACUAGGCUUAUCUCUGGAUAUGUGGUUUUAAAUCCCAGCACUGUUCAAUGCCUCCAACUCUGCUGCUAACUCAGUAAGCAGAGGAAGGAGUUUGCAGGGCCAAAGGAGAUAUGUGUACACUCUGAAGUUGGAAGGCACCUUACCAUUUGACAAAUGGGCAUAAGAGUGGUAAAAGAGAAAAGUUAAGGACAAAUCAGCAUCAGGAAGUGUAUUUUUCCUUAUGAUUUGCAGCUUUCUAGAGUUUUGGUUUCUAAACCAAAAAAUCAGGUUAUUAAUUAUUAGAAAGUGAAACAAACAAAUGCAGUACGGGAUCUAAGUCUUAGCUAAGGCUCAGCUGUGGGCAGGAAAUCAUUACUUCCUGAGGAGAUUUUGUCCAGUGAAAUUGAGGUUUUAUGGGAACAACUCCAGAAGUGCCAUGCUGGAUAUUGACAACUUAGAAAACAUAGCAAUUCUGACACCUGAGGGGGAAUAGUUCAGAUGCUUGUUUUAAUGAAAUAUAAAUAAUGUGAAAAUCUUAAUAAAAUCAAGCUGCGAUACUGAUUCCAUUGCUUAAGUGUAGCAUUUUUAGGAUUCAAAUGAAAGGAAGAGGAAAAAGUUUCUCCUGUCUCCCUUCACUAUACCUGUUCUUGGGUAUCUUGCUAGAUGUCAUUCAGUAAAGGAGUCAAACUAGGCCCUCCAGGCAAUUUGUGACAGCAGAAAACAGGGUUAACUUCCAGAAGAUUUUUGUCUGUGUACUGCAAGGUCCUGGGCUAUACCUGCACUACAAGUACAAGUGGGAUUGAAGUGCUGGAGGCACCACAGUGAAGUCUGUGCUGCUAUGUCC